This 291-nucleotide unclassified non-coding RNA is filed under the name fungal sp. Its description in RNAcentral is "partial internal transcribed spacer region". The stretch from base 1 to 45 matches the Rfam family "Eukaryotic small subunit ribosomal RNA", at positions 1787 to 1831 of the family's 1831-position model. Lineage: Eukaryota; Fungi. The record is from RNAcentral.
AGUCGUAACAAGGUAUCCGUAGGUGAACCUGCGGAUGGAUCAUUAACAAAGGUGUUUUUGAAGUUGUGUGAACAGUUGGAGGUGGUGGUGGUGGUGGUAUUGGGUGGUACUGGGUGGUAUUGAGUGGUGUAACCUUGGUCUAACCUUGGUCAACCUCACUCAACCUCACUCAACCUCACUCUCCCAACCUCACUCUCCCAACCUCCACCACUCCGUCCCUAUAAUGUAUACAAACUGAUGUCUGCUAGUUUCAAACUAAAACAACUUUUAGCAACGGAUCUCUUGGCUCUC